UAAUACGUAGGGUGCAAGCGUUAAUCGGAAUUACUGGGCGUAAAGCGUGCGCAGGCGGUUUUGUAAGACAGGCGUGAAAUCCCCGGGCUCAACCUGGGAAUUGCGCUUGUGACUGCAAGGCUGGAGUGCGGCAGAGGGGGAUGGAAUUCCGCGUGUAGCAGUGAAAUGCGUAGAUAUGCGGAGGAACACCGAUGGCGAAGGCAAUCCCCUGGGCCUGCACUGACGCUCAUGCACGAAAGCGUGGGGAGCAAACAGGAUUAGAUACCCUGGUAGUCCACGCCCUAAACGAUGUCAACUGGUUGUUGGGUCUCUUCUGACUCAGUAACGAAGCUAACGCGUGAAGUUGACCGCCUGGGGAGUACGGCCGCAAGGUUG
RNAcentral lists this ribosomal RNA (375 nucleotides) under uncultured bacterium. RNAcentral's name for it is "bacterial SSU rRNA". It matches the Rfam family "Bacterial small subunit ribosomal RNA", at positions 521 to 896 of the family's 1533-position model. The record is from RNAcentral.